Molecule: transfer RNA, 72 nt
Filed under: archaeon
Lineage: Archaea
Description: tRNA-Tyr
Rfam family: tRNA
About the family: Transfer RNA (tRNA) molecules are approximately 80 nucleotides in length. Their secondary structure includes four short double-helical elements and three loops (D, anti-codon, and T loops).
Source: RNAcentral
CCCCUGGUAGCUCAAUGGUGGAGCAGGCGCCUGUAGAGCGCAAGGCUGGGAGUUCAAAUCUCCCCCGGGGGA